Molecule: ribosomal RNA, 484 nt
Filed under: uncultured bacterium
Lineage: Bacteria
Description: partial 16S ribosomal RNA
Rfam family: Bacterial small subunit ribosomal RNA
Source: RNAcentral
AUUGAACGCUGGCGGCAGGCCUAACACAUGCAAGUCGAGCGGAUGAAGGGAGCUUGCUCCUGGAUUCAGCGGCGGACGGGUGAGUAAUGCCUAGGAAUCUGCCUGGUAGUGGGGGAUAACGUCCGGAAACGGGCGCUAAUACCGCAUACGUCCUGAGGGAGAAAGUGGGGGAUCUUCGGACCUCACGCUAUCAGAUGAGCCUAGGUCGGAUUAGCUAGUUGGUGGGGUAAAGGCCUACCAAGGCGACGAUCCGUAACUGGUCUGAGAGGAUGAUCAGUCACACUGGAACUGAGACACGGUCCAGACUCCUACGGGAGGCAGCAGUGGGGAAUAUUGGACAAUGGGCGAAAGCCUGAUCCAGCCAUGCCGCGUGUGUGAAGAAGGUCUUCGGAUCGUAAAGCACUUUAAGUUGGGAGGAAGGGCAGUAAGUUAAUACCCUGCUGUUUUGACGUUACCAACAGAAUAAGCACCGGCUAACUUCGUG